CUCCUACAAGGCACAACACGCAUUUUCCAUCUCUUCACUAUUCAUGGAGCCUUACCAGCUUGUGAAAUGUCAUCCCAAUAUGGAGGAUCAAACUCAUAGUCACCAGCCAAGAUCUUACGAAACAGGAGCAAGAAUGGGACUUCUUACUGAGCUGCAGAAAACAGCGAGAAAGACAGGGAGGGAAGGUUCUGACAACUGUUUGGGAAGGCACCUUGUGAAAAGGCAACAAGAUGGUUCACAGCUGCCCAGCCAUGCUAGAGCAAUCCAAGGGCCCUGGCAAUGCAAAAUGGAGAGACCACUGUGUAUGUGGCAUCUUAGGAGUUCUGGGUAACAUCCACUUACAGCUCCAAGAAGAGGAAGUACUCUUUCCGGGUAACAUACACAUCCACCAACUGCAGAAUGUUGGGGUGUUUCACCCUGCAGGGAAAGAAAGGAAGAGAAAAUCUAGGCAUUGGAAGAGACCUACUGGCCUAUCCAGUCUUGAUCUAACUUGCCCCCAGCCUGGAAAUAAAUUUUAAAUCAAUAAAUGAAUUUAUAUAUUAAAAAAUAAACCAGAAAAUCAAGGGUGAACAAUG
Molecule: long non-coding RNA, 575 nt
Organism: Rhineura floridana
Lineage: Eukaryota; Metazoa; Chordata; Lepidosauria; Squamata; Rhineuridae
Exons: 3
Source: RefSeq, a predicted model, not a curated record